AGUUCAGUCGGUUAGAAUACCGGCCUGUCACGCCGGGGGUCGCAGGACACCGCCCUUUCACGGCGGUAACAGGGGUUCGAGUCCCCUAGGGGACGCCA
Molecule: transfer RNA, 98 nt
Filed under: Pseudomonas aeruginosa
Lineage: Bacteria; Pseudomonadati; Pseudomonadota; Gammaproteobacteria; Pseudomonadales; Pseudomonadaceae
Description: tRNA-Asp
Rfam family: tRNA
About the family: Transfer RNA (tRNA) molecules are approximately 80 nucleotides in length. Their secondary structure includes four short double-helical elements and three loops (D, anti-codon, and T loops). Further hydrogen bonds mediate the characteristic L-shaped molecular structure. tRNAs have two regions of fundamental functional importance: the anti-codon, which is responsible for specific mRNA codon recognition, and the 3' end, to which the tRNAs corresponding amino acid is attached (by aminoacyl-tRNA synthetases). tRNAs cope with the degeneracy of the genetic code in two manners: having more than one tRNA (with a specific anti-codon) for a particular amino acid; and 'wobble' base-pairing, i.e. permitting non-standard base-pairing at the 3rd anti-codon position.
Source: RNAcentral